This 2738-nucleotide long non-coding RNA is filed under the name Homo sapiens (human). RNAcentral describes it as "long independently transcribed non-coding RNA 1541, transcript variant 2 (LINC01541)". Lineage: Eukaryota; Metazoa; Chordata; Mammalia; Primates; Hominidae. The record is from RNAcentral.
ACAGAAAGAGCCAGGAUCCCAGACUGUGCUGAAGCUUCAUGAGACCUCUCCUCGUCUGUGCACGAAAGAGGAGCCGGACACAGAGUGUCCAGCCGACUCUGGAGCCCAGGCUGUUGCUUCCCGGUCUGGUGGUGAGUCCUCCAUUGUCUGAUGUGGGUAAGUCCAAGACCAAGGAGCCAGCAGAUUCAGAGUCCAGGGAGGGCUGUUCCUGAUUUGCAGAUGGCGCCUUCUCUUUAUGUCUUCACAAGAUUGUGAAGCCUGUAGCUUGGAAGAUACAGGACAUAGGUGAAAGUGUUUGUACCAUUCAUUUAAAGGCAUAAAUGUCCAAUGGGGCCAUCUUGUGAUACAUGCACUGUCACAGGAAAAGUUUCCAGGAAAAGUCAAGCCAGGGCUUCACAGAAGAUCAAAAGAAAGAGACAAGGAGAAGCUAAGUGUAUUAGUCAGGAUUCUCUAAGGGACAGAACUAAUAGAAUAUAUAUACACACACAAACACACACACACACACAUAUAUAUACAUAUAAAUAAAAGGGAGUUUAUUAAGGAGUAUUAACUCACACAAUCACAAGGUCCCACAACAGGCCGGGCCAUCUGUAAGCUGAGGAACAAGGAAGCCAGUCUGAAUCCCAAAGAUGACAAACUUGGAGUUCAAUGUUCAAGGGCAGGAAGCAUCCAGCACAGGAGAUAGAUGUAGGCUGGGAGGCUAAGCCAGUCAAGACUUUUCACGUUUUUCUGCCUGUUUCAUAUCCUAGCUGCAAUGGCAGCUGAUUAGAUGGUGCCCACCCAGAUUAAGGGUGGGUCUGCCUUUCCCAGCACACUGACUCAAAUGUUUAUCUCCUUUGGCAACACCCUCACAGACACACUCAGGAUUAAUAUUUUGCUUCCUUCCAUCCAAUCAAGUUGACACUCAGUAUUAACCAUCACACUAAGCUUGUUAUUUUAUAGAAAUGCUUGAAAACCAGAGAUAAAUGCAGCUACAAAUGAACGAUGACUCUGCGUUUUCCUUGUAUAUAUAAAGAUCAACAAUAACACUUAGGUCAUGAAACCCACCUACUUUACAGAUCAUUAUGGAAAUAAUACACUGCUUCAGCAAUGGAGAAACAAUCAUCCAUAUUUAUGCAAGAACUAAAUUCAAGUUUGAAAGCUUGCUUUGAGCUUGAAGAUAUAAAACAUGAUUCUGUGACAGUAAACAAUGUAUAACAAAUCUUACAGAAAUUUAUGUGAUUACUAAAAAAAAAUCAAUUCAUCAAUUCAAUAAACUGAGUACCGUAUUACUUUUCUAUUGCUUCUUUACCAAAUAAAUACAAGCUUUGCAGUUUAAAACAACAGAAAUUUAAUUUUUUAUAGUUCUGAGGGUCAGUAACCUAAAACUGAUCUUAUGAAAUAAAGUUAAAUCUUGGGGAUAUGGGUGUGGACAGGGCUGGUUUCUUCUGGGGCUCUGAUGGUAAAAUUUGCUUCCUUGCCUUUUCUCCUUCUAGGGAGCCUGCAUUCCCUGCCUCCUAGUGGCUUCCUCCCAUCACUCGAACCUCUGUUUCCAGCCUCAGGAUUCCUAAUGUGACUCUGACGUUUCAUCUCCUGUUUAUGAGGACGCUUCUGAUUGCUAAGAUACAUACGGUGACACUAUGGAAGUUAACUUGAAGAUUAAAACCCUGAAAAAUAGAAAGAAUCUUCUAUGGUAUAUCACAGAGAUUACAAGGGCCUGAAUUAGAGUGGUGACAUUUUCAUCCCUUGAUAAUGGAUUAAAAACAAUUGAAUGAAGCUUUGGGGUGAACUUACAGGACUUUAUGGCAAACUUCAUAUGGGAGACUUACAUGAAGGGAGGAAGAAAUGCGUAUGUGUACAAAAUCAUGUGGAUAGAUGUGCAUUUGUGGGUAUCUGUGAAUACAAAUACACAAUUUUCAGACAGAAGUAGUAUAAGAAAAGGAAAUCAAACAAAGUCAAACAUUUUAAGUGUAGCUCUUGGUGCACUUUAAAAAAUUAUUAAAUUGAAGCUGUAGUUUAUUCUCAUCAUUGUCAUCCUAUAUUAGUGAUUUUCUUUAGCUUUUGAAAUUAAAUUCAUAAUAUUACAAUUCUGAAUUCCUAUGUAUGUAUAUGUUAAGAAUCCUUUAAUGGGACUGACUUUCAUAUGUGUGUGGCUGCAUUCUGAAAUAGUUGUCUAGUUGAUACAUAAAGCAGUGAGUGCUAUUUGUAAGAUAUAUUUAUAUUUAAAGUCUUCAUACAGUUAUUAACUAGCUCCAAUAUUACUGAAAUGAUUUCUCCAAAUAUCCUAUAUUUAAUUAUCAUGCUGGCAAAUUUAUUAUAACUUUGGUUUGAAAAAAUAUAUUAUGAUACAUAUCCACUGACUAAUGCCACCUAUCUGCUUUCCUGAAUUCAAAGUUUAUGAUUAUUUCCAUAAAUGUAUUUAUCAGUAUAAUCAAAAAUAAAAAUAACAUAAAUAAAAUUUCUGUGAGCUUUACACAUCUAAUGUGCAAUGAUUAUAAAUCUGGUCUUAUACACAUGGUAAAAAACAUUUAAGUCACAAAAGUAUACUUCAGGUUUAAGUAUAAAUCUGAAAUUAAAUUCUCAGAUUUAAGUAUAAUUUUUAAAAGCUUUGGUAAUUGUGUCCCUACUGUUAAAUUUAUUGUAUAGUUUUCACUAUAUCAUCUGACCUUUUAAUGUUUCUAGAAACUUGUGUGAGGUCUCAUACUUCAUGGCUAAUAAAGUAUUUAUUUUUCUAUUCUUAAAAAAAAAAAAAAAAAAAA